This is a non-coding RNA of Macaca mulatta (Rhesus monkey), 1304 nucleotides long. The record is from RefSeq and is a predicted model, not a curated record. NCBI's taxonomy places the organism in Eukaryota, Metazoa, Chordata, Mammalia, Primates, Cercopithecidae.
AGACCAUGAGGGAACAGUCAGGGUUUUUCCACUGGGAAAGGAAAACAGAAGAUGGACCUGAUAAGCAUCUUGAAGCUGUCUUCUUCCUGAGGGCCAGUUAAGGACUCAAUUGCUGAGCAGACCUGCUAGACCUCACUUCAAAAGGCCCUCUGAAUCUCAACCACAUCCUCCAUCCAGCCCCAGAGUUAGAUCGUCCACCUGCAGCCCUUGCCGUAGCGUCAACUUGCUCCUCAUGGCAGCGGCCCCAUGGGAGACCUGCUGGCUGUAAACAUCCAGCUAUUUUCUAUAUCCUACACUGGGAGCAUGUGAAAAUAUCUGGAUACAUUUAUGCCAGUUCUGGAGGCUGACAAGUCCAAGAGCAUGGCACCAACAUCUGAUGAAGGUCAUCCCAUGGCAGAAGGACAGAAGGCUGAAGCAAACAUGUGAGACAGAGAGAAGAAAUCAGGUAAAACUCACUUUUAUUACAAAUUCAGUCUCGUGAUAACUAACCCACUUCUGCAAUAAGGGCGUGAAUCCAUUCAUGAUGGAUCUGCCAUCACCUAAUCAUCUCUUAAAGGCCCCACAUCAAUUAAAAGUCAACAUGAGUUUGGGAGCAGACAAACAUUUAAACCACAACAGUGGUGUCCCAGAAUUCCAAAGACCAAAUUUGGAAUAAUUCCACUUUGUUUUUUAUUUUCCCCCUAAACCUGUUGGAAAAUGUCCCCAGAUUCCACACUUAAGAUAAUAGGGCGCGUGGUGUGGAGGGGGGGCAGACUUAUCUAUGGACUCUUCCACUUCCUUCGUGGCCUCUUAACCCUUUCUUUUUUUCUCUCUCUCACCUCUCAGAAUGCUACAGUUUUGUUUCUGGAUAGUGUACCCUUCACUUACAUCAUCUCGAGUUCUCCAAAACUAGUAAAACUCUAGAAUGCCAACUGGCCAGGCUCCGGGCUUGCCUUCAAUCUCUUUCUCUCUCUCUCUCUCUGUCUCUCUUUCUCUCUCUCCUGCAGCUUCACUGCAGUACAAUUUACACACCAUAAAAUUCACCCAUUUAAAAUGUACAGUUCAAUGACUUUUUAGUAAAUUUGGUUGUGUAACUAUCACUGUACUUUUGGUUUUUAAACAUUUUCAUUAUCCCAAUAAGAUCAUUCAUGCCCAUGUACAGUUAAUCCACUUUCCUACCUCCAGACCCAGGCAACCACUCAUCUACUUUUGUCUCUUCGUAUUUGCCUAUUGUGGACAUUUUCUGUCAAUGGAGUCAUAUAAUCUAUGUCGCUUUGUGUCUCACUGAUUUUACUUAGCAUACUGUUUUUGAGGUUCAUCUACAU